This 164-nucleotide ribosomal RNA is filed under the name Cyclothone alba (bristlemouth). RNAcentral's name for it is "partial 12S rRNA". The record is from RNAcentral. Lineage: Eukaryota; Metazoa; Chordata; Actinopteri; Stomiiformes; Gonostomatidae.
UACCGCGGUUACACGAAGAGCCCUAGCUAAUAGGCACCGGCGCAAAGGGUGGUUAGGAAUUUGCACGUAAAGCCAAACUUUCCCCCCGCUGUGGUACGCAGCCUAAGAGCAAAGACCUCAACGAAAGUAACUUUAUCCCGCCUGAAGCCACAAAAGCUUGGACA